AAGAAAACAGUUCAGCACUAAGUCACUUUGUCUUUAAUGGCAAAUGUGAGAUGCAGUGUAUGGAAUGUUCAAUUCUAGUAUGAGAAAUUAGCGAUUUAAGUCCUUCUUAAAUGAGGCCAUUUACCCAAAGAGGGUGCUAGGCCCGUAUAACGUUAAUGAUUACUAGAGAACAAUUCCAAAGAGUCGUGUUGCUUGAUAGUGCAGCACUAAGUGGGUGGUAAACUCCAUCUAAAACUAAAUAUAACCAUGAGACCGAUAGUAAACAAGUACCGUGAGGGAAAGUUGAAAAGAACUCUGAAUAGAGAGUUAAAUAGUACGUGAAACUGCUUAGAGGUUAAGCCCGAUGAACCCGAAUAUCCAUUAUGGAAAAUUCAUCAUUAUGAAUUAUGAUAUUUAAUAAAUAUUAUAUUAAUGGUGUGCAUUUUUUCCAUAUAAGGACAUUGUAAUCUAUUAACAUUAAAAUUUAUCAUAAAAUCAUUAGCUUUAAAGUUUAUUCAAAUUAUUAUGCUUGCAUUUUAACACAGAAUAAUUGCUUUUGAUUUGAUAGAUUGUUGAUAGAUUUAUMUUUAUAUAGUGCUUAAAUAUMUUUUUAUAUUUUAUAAUAGCAUAAUAAAUCAAUGAUUUUUAUGUUUAUUAUAUGCACUUAUAUGAUUUACAAUGCGAAAGAUUCGGGAUACCUUCGGGACCCGUCUUGAAACACGGACCAAGGAGUCUAACAUAUUUGCGAGUUAUUGGGUUUUUUAAAAACCUAAUAGCGAAAUUAACAUGACAAAAUUAAUAUGGGAUUAGUUAUUAGUUCUUAAGCAUACUUUAGACUAUUAAUUCAAUCCCGGGGCGUUCUAUACAGUUAUGUAUAAUAAUAUUUAUAUUAUUUAUACCUCUAACUAGAACGUACCUUGAGCAUAUAUGCUGUAACCCGAAAGAUGGUGAACUAUACUUGAUCAGGUUGAAGUCAGGGGAAACCCUGAUGGAAGACCGAAACAGUUCUGACGUGCAAAUCGAUUGUCAGAAUUGAGUAUAGGGGCGAAAGACCAAUCGAACCAUCUAGUAGCUGGUUCCCUCCGAAGUUUCCCUCAGGAUAGCUGGUGCAUUUAAAAUUUAUGUAAAAUAAUCUUAUCUGGUAAAGCGAAUGAUUAGAGGCCUUAGGGUCGAAACGAUCUUAACCUAUUCUCAAACUUUAAAUGGGUAAGAACCUCACCUUUCUUGGUAUGAAGGUUGUGGUUGUGAUAUAAUGUGCCCAGUGGGCCACUUUUGGUAAGCAGAACUGGCGCUGUGGGAUGAACCAAACGUAAUGUUACGGUGCCCAAAUUAACAACUCAUGCAGAUACCAUGAAAGGCGUUGGUUGCUUAAAACAGCAGGACGGUGGACAUGGAAGUCGCAAUCCGCUAAGGAGUGUGUAACAACUCACCUGCCGAAGCAACUAGCCCUUAAAAUGGAUGGCGCUUAAGUUGUAUACCUAUACAUUACCGCUAAAGUAAAUGGUUGAAAUUCAAUUUAUUUGGAUUUGUAAACUUUAAAACUUUAGUGAGUAGGAGGGUACAAUGGUGAGCGUAGAAGUGUUUGGCGUAAGCCUGCAUGGAGCCGCCAUUGGUACAGAUCUUGGUGGUAGUAGCAAAUAAUCGAAUGAGACCUUGGAGGACUGAAGUGGAGAAGGGUUUCGUGUGAACAGUGGUUGAUCACGAGUUAGUCGGUCCUAAGUUCAAGGCGAAAGCUGAAAAUUUUCAAGUUAUAUAUUAAUAAUGUAUAUUUAUAUAUAUAUAUAAUGUAUAAAACACUUGAAAUUAAUUGAACGAAAGGGAAUACGGUUCCAAUUCCGUAACCUGUUGAGUAUCCGUUUGUUUAUUAAAUGUGGGCCUUGUGCUCAUCCUGGCAACAGGAACGACCAUAAAGAAGCCGUCGAGAGAUAUCGGAAGAGUUUUCUUUUCUGUUUUAUAGUCGUACUACCAUGGAAGUCUUUCGAAGAGAGAUAUGGUAGAUGGGCUAGAAGAGCAUGACAUUUACUGUUGUGUCGAUAUUUUCUCCUCGGACCUUGAAAAUUUAUGGUGGGGUCACGCAAACUUCUCAACAGGCCGUACCAAUAUCCGCAGCUGGUCUCCAAGGUGAAGAGUCUCUAGUC
Molecule: ribosomal RNA, 2117 nt
Filed under: Glossina palpalis
Lineage: Eukaryota; Metazoa; Arthropoda; Insecta; Diptera; Glossinidae
Description: eukaryotic LSU rRNA
Rfam family: Eukaryotic large subunit ribosomal RNA
Source: RNAcentral